This 465-nucleotide ribosomal RNA is filed under the name uncultured bacterium. RNAcentral describes it as "bacterial SSU rRNA". It matches the Rfam family "Bacterial small subunit ribosomal RNA", at positions 28 to 507 of the family's 1533-position model. The record is from RNAcentral.
GACGAACGCUGGCGGCGUGCCUAACACAUGCAAGUCGAACGGGGGCAAUUUCUUCGGAGGUUGCUUAGUGGCGAACGGGUGAGUAACGCGUGAGAAACCUGCCUUUCAGUGGGGGACAACAGUUGGAAACGACUGCUAAUACCGCAUAACACUUUAGUACCGCAUGGUACAGAAGUCAAAGCUUUAUGUGCUGAGAGAUGGUCUCGCGUCUGAUUAGCUAGAUGGCGGGGUAACGGCCCACCAUGGCGACGAUCAGUAGCCGAUCUGAGAGGAUGAACGGCCACAUUGGGACUGAGAUACGGCCCAGACUCCUACGGGAGGCAGCAGUGGGGAAUAUUGGGCAAUGGGGGAAACCCUGACCCAGCAACGCCGCGUGAAGGAAGAAGGCCUUCGGGUUGUAAACUUCUUUUACCAGGGACGAAGAACGUGACGGUACCUGGAGAAAAAGCAACGGCUAACUACGUG